Molecule: long non-coding RNA, 1055 nt
Filed under: Chrysemys picta bellii (western painted turtle)
Lineage: Eukaryota; Metazoa; Chordata; Testudines; Emydidae
Description: lncRNA (ENSCPBG00000017041.1)
Source: RNAcentral
AGGGCCGGGUCUCAAUGCCCACGGCCAGAACCAAGCUGGGGACAGGAACUGCAUGGCAGAGACCCGGAUCGGAGCCUGCUGCCGUGCAGCCGGAGCUGUGUGUCAGCGCCCAGGGCUAGUGCCUGCUGCCACAUGGCCAGAGCCCAGAGCUGGGUGCCGGGGCCCAGGAGUGCAUGGCCAGAGCCAGGAGCCAGCACUGGCUGCUGCAUGGCCGGAGCCAGGAGCCAGCACUGGCUGCUGCAUGGCCGGAGGCAGGGGCGGCACCUGGGAGCCCAGGAACAGAACCUGCUCUGGUGAAGUUGGGGCAGGGGAUCAGUGCCAGGGCAGGGGAUCAGCACCAGGGCUAGGGCCACGUAGCUGGAGCUCGGGCCUAGCGCCUGCCACUGUGCUGCCCUGUGGCCAGAGCCAGGGUUUGGUGCCCAAAGCCCCGUGCUUGGAGCCGUUGCAAUGUGGCUGGGGCUGGGAUUGCUGCCUGUGGUGGGUCAGUACCCGCUGCCCCACAGUCGGAACCUCGGGCUGCACGGCCAGGUUCCUGAAGUCCUGCCACUGGAGCCUGCUGUCCAAGCCCCCUUCCCCCAACCAGGGUCAAGAACUCACCUUUCUCCGGCAGCGUUUUCCCCCACUUCUCUUCAGAGGCAGUGCAAGGCAGCGCAUCCAGGAGCAACAAGGAGAGAGGGGGAGGGGCCAAUGGUUUGCCCCCCUCCCAUCACCGCCCAGGAGGCUCUCGUGGCCGCAUGAAAAGCCCCUGGUGGCCGCAUUUGAGAAAUCUUGGUCUAGUCCAGUGAUUCUCAAACUUUUGUACUGGUGACCCCUUUCACAUAGCAAGCCACAAAAUAAGCUCCACUCACGUGGAUCAUCAAAAUGAGACAUUGCUCUCAGCAGAUUGUGCAGAUGUUCAGAGUGUUUGCUCACGCGGGUGUUCGUUAUUCUGUGAGCUCCACAAGUUUGGCUCCCCCUUGACUGAGCAUCAAGAUACUCAUGUACUCUGCUUGGGCUCAGCUCCUUCUGGACUAAGGAAAAGAAAAGUGGCAGUAUGUCCCAAAUGCCACACAUCU